Molecule: ribosomal RNA, 614 nt
Filed under: uncultured marine bacterium
Lineage: Bacteria
Description: bacterial SSU rRNA
Rfam family: Bacterial small subunit ribosomal RNA
Source: RNAcentral
AGAGUUUGAUCAUGGCUCAGGAUGAACGCUGGCGGCGUGCCUAAUACACGCAAGUCGAGCGAACUGAUUAGAAGCUUGCUUCUAUGACGUUAGCGGCGGACGGGUGAGUAACACGUGGGCAACCUGCCUGUAAGACUGGGAUAACUUCGGGAAACCGAAGCUAAUACCGGAUAGGAUCUUCUCCUUCAUGGGAGAUGAUUGAAAGAUGGUUUCGGCUAUCACUUACAGAUGGGCCCGCGGUGCAUUAGCUAGUUGGUGAGGUAACGGCUCACCAAGGCAACGAUGCAUAGCCGACCUGAGAGGGUGAUCGGCCACACUGGGACUGAGACACGGCCCAGACUCCUACGGGAGGCAGCAGUAGGGAAUCUUCCGCAAUGGACGAAAGUCUGACGGAGCAACGCCGCGUGAGUGAUGAAGGCUUUCGGGUCGUAAAACUCUGUUGUCAGGGAAGAACAAGUACAAGAGUAACUGCUCGUACCUUGACGGUACCUAGCCAGAAAGCCACGGCUAACUACGUGCCAGCAGCCGCGGUAAUACGUAGGUGGCAAGCGUUAUCCGGAAUUAUUGGGCGUAAAGCGCGCGCAGGCGGUUUCUUAAGUCUGAUGUGAAAGCCC